AAUAAGUGCAGUUUUAGCACUGUUCAUGUUCAACGUUUGACCGUUCGUCUUAUUUGAAAAAAGAUUAUGAUUAGUAUUUUUAUUGUUAUUAAAUGAUAAAACAUGAAUAGUACUUUAUGUGUGACUAAUUUUUUUAAUAUUUUUAAUAAAUUUUUCAAAUAAGACGGAUGGUCAAAGUGCUAAACACGGAUAUCUAUGGCUGCAUUUAUU
RNAcentral lists this microRNA precursor (210 nucleotides) under Oryza sativa Japonica Group (Japanese rice). Its description in RNAcentral is "MIR812 microRNA precursor family". It matches the Rfam family "MIR812 microRNA precursor family". Lineage: Eukaryota; Viridiplantae; Streptophyta; Magnoliopsida; Poales; Poaceae. The record is from Rfam by way of RNAcentral.